GAUGAAGAACGUAGCGAAAUGCGAUAAGUAAUGCGAAUUGCAGAAUUUCCGUGAGUCAUCGAAUCUUUGAACGCACAUUGCGCCCACUGGUAUUCCGGUGGGCAUGCCUGUUCGAGCGUCAUUAUCCUCCCUCAAACCUCGGGUUUGGUGUUGGACCCAAGUUGUGUGAACAACUGGUCUUAAAGACAAUGACGGCGUCCGUGGGACCCUCGGUGCAACGAGCUUUUAGGAGCACGCGUCGAGUUUCAAGGACCCUCCGGGCCGGUCUCCUUUACCAUUUUACAAGGUUGACCUCGGAUCAGGUAGGAAUACCCGCUGAACUUAAGCAUAUCAAUAAGCGGAGGA
This 345-nucleotide unclassified non-coding RNA is filed under the name soil metagenome. Its description in RNAcentral is "partial contains 5.8S ribosomal RNA, internal transcribed spacer 2, and large subunit ribosomal RNA". The stretch from base 1 to 121 matches the Rfam family "5.8S ribosomal RNA", at positions 35 to 154 of the family's 154-position model. The record is from RNAcentral.